RNAcentral lists this ribosomal RNA (253 nucleotides) under uncultured bacterium. Its description in RNAcentral is "partial 16S ribosomal RNA". It matches the Rfam family "Bacterial small subunit ribosomal RNA", at positions 524 to 776 of the family's 1533-position model. The record is from RNAcentral.
UACGGAGGGUGCAAGCGUUAUCCGGAUUCACUGGGUUUAAAGGGUGCGUAGGUGGGCUGGUAAGUCAGUGGUGAAAUCUCCAGGCUUAACUUGGAAACUGCCAUUGAUACUAUCAGUCUUGAAUACCGUGGAGGUCAGCGGAAUAUGUCAUGUAGCGGUGAAAUGCUUAGAUAUGACAUAGAACACCAAUUGCGAAGGCAGCUCGCUACACGAAUAUUGACUCUGAGGCACGAAAGCGUGGGGAUCAAACAGG